GGGUGUCGAUCGUAGUGGUACAGUCCAGACAAACACGUGAGGAAGCAUUUGGGUGAUUUUGAGCGGCGGCUUCGUGAAAUGAUAAACAAACUUGUGGAUUUAGGAACCGCCCAUCUAUUCAUGCGGAUGCAGGAGAAAAACAGCAGCUCUGGGAUGGUGUGGACGGUGGACUCUCUGCUCCGUUCAGCUCGCUCUUCGUCUCCAGCCUGCUGUCGGUCCCUCUGCCUCUCGUCCUCUUCUUCCUCUCCCUGCCUCUGGGCCUCCAUCUCCCCGCCGUCUGCGCCUGAGGAAGCAGGUGAGGAGAACAUCAGAGACUCCUCUCUCUUCAGCAGGUCUGGAGUCGGGCCAAAGAGGUGCUGCCGAAACCUUUCCGGGAGGAUCUGGAGGAGUCCAGCUGCUCGGGUUUUAGCUCCUGGACCUCAGCGGCUUUCAGCUCCUCCUCCAGCUGCUCCGUUUCCAUGGCAACAUCCUCAUCCUCCUGAUCGUCACUGGGAUUCUUCUGCGGCCCCAUGGCUUUCUGCUGCUCCAGACUGGCAACAUCUGCAGCAGGAGGAGCAUUCCCUCAUCAGGAGGACGUCUCUACAGAGAUCUUUACAGCAGGUUGAUGCAGACCGUAAGUCUGAGCGUCGUAGUCCAUCUCGCCCUCUCGGACAUGCUCGUGCAGGUCCGACUCCUGCCGCCCGUCGCUCGCCUCGUUCUUCUGGGAGCGCUCCUCGCUGCUGGCCACCAUCCGCAGCCGCUUGUUGAUGCGCUCGUUGUAGUCGCCGGUGGAGCGCUCCUCCUCCGCUCGGCCCGGCUUCCUCUUGAAGCUCUGCAGGGAGAGACUCCGGCUGAAUCAAACGGACGACGAUCAGAGGAGGAGGCGGAGCAUGAGCACUGACCUGGGUCUUCCUCUGCGUCUGCGACUGAGAGGCCAUCCUGGCUGUCAGCCGGGACUCGUGACCCUCUGAUUGGCUGGCGUCCGCCGCUCCGCUGCCGUGCUCCUAUCAGAAUCAUCUUUAACAACCCACUCCCAAGAAGACUGUUUUUGACACGGUUUUGGUGCAUUUUUCUGAUAAUGGAGGACAUUUAUGAAGCAAAUUCAGAUAAAAAAAAAUGAUGAAUUUCUUUAUUCAAAUGGCUGUAAAUC
RNAcentral lists this long non-coding RNA (1129 nucleotides) under Oryzias javanicus (javanese ricefish). RNAcentral's name for it is "lncRNA (ENSOJAG00000018106.1)". Lineage: Eukaryota; Metazoa; Chordata; Actinopteri; Beloniformes; Adrianichthyidae. The record is from RNAcentral.